UGGGGAAUAUUGGGCAAUGGGGGAAACCCUGACCCAGCAACGCCGCGUGAAGGAAGAAGGUUUUCGGAUCGUAAACUUCUAUCCUUGGUGAAGAGAAGAAGACGGUAGCCAAGAAGGAAGCCCCGGCUAACUACGUGCCAGCAGCCGCGGUAAUACGGAGGGUGCAAGCGUUGUCCGGAAUCAUUGGGCGUAAAGAGUUCGUAGGUGGUAUGUUAAGUCUGGUGUUAAAGCCCGAAGCUCAACUUCGGUUCGGCACUGGAUACUGGCAAACUUGAAUGUGGUAGAGGUAAAGGGAAUUCCUGGUGUAGCGGUGAAAUGCGUAGAUAUCAGGAGGAACAUCGGUGGCGUAAGCGCUUUACUGGGCCAUAAUUGACACUGAGGAACGAAAGCCGGGGUAGCAAAUG
Molecule: ribosomal RNA, 404 nt
Filed under: uncultured bacterium
Lineage: Bacteria
Description: bacterial SSU rRNA
Rfam family: Bacterial small subunit ribosomal RNA
Source: RNAcentral